GCCUAGGAAUCUGCCCUGGUUGUGGGGGAUAACGUCCGGAAACGGMGCUAAUACCGCAUACGUCCUACGGGAGAAAGCAGGGGACCUUCGGGCCUUGCGCUAUCAGAUGAGCCUAGGUCGGAUUAGCUAGUUGGUGGGGUAAUGGCUCACCAAGGCGACGAUCCGUAACUGGUCUGAGAGGAUGAUCAGUCACACUGGAACUGAGACACGGUCCAGACUCCUACGGGAGGCAGCAGUGGGGAAUAUUGGACAAUGGGCGAAAGCCUGAUCCAGCCAUGCCGCGUGGGUGAAGAAGGCCUUCGGGUUGUAAAGCUCUUUUGUCAGGGAAGAAACGGCCUGUUCUAAUACAGCGGGCUAAUGACGGUACCUGAAGAAUAAGCACCGGCUAACUACGUG
RNAcentral lists this ribosomal RNA (396 nucleotides) under uncultured maize rhizosphere bacterium c14_23. RNAcentral describes it as "bacterial SSU rRNA". It matches the Rfam family "Bacterial small subunit ribosomal RNA", at positions 115 to 507 of the family's 1533-position model. The record is from RNAcentral.